CCUCCUUACCUAUACGACUAACUCAAUACCUAAAAGUGCAGAGAUGCAUGUGAGUGUUCACACAGAUUACUUGAUAGAAGAAAGAGAAAGAUAUCGAAAGGUAUUUUUGAGGAUUUUGAUUCUUAAUCAAGGCACUUGAUGAGUUUCGCAGGGAGUGUGCUUUUAGCACAUGACUGAGAAACGAAGAAAGUAACGCCGAGUAAGGGUUAAAAGACCAAAAAGAAUGGGUCUGUAGCUCAGCUGGUUAGAGCGCACCCCUGAUAAGGGUGAGGUCGGUGGUUCAAGUCCACUCUGACCCACCAAAUCUUCAUUUUAUCUGCGUUAAUUAAAUACUCGUUUAAUGAACUAAACGUCCCAUUGAAUUAACUUGUUAAAAUUCGAUUUGGCUUCCCCAAUCUUAUGAUUGGUUACUUGAUAUUUAUCUCACUGC
This 430-nucleotide unclassified non-coding RNA is filed under the name uncultured Shewanellaceae bacterium. Its description in RNAcentral is "partial 16S-23S ribosomal RNA intergenic spacer". The stretch from base 226 to 299 matches the Rfam family "tRNA". The record is from RNAcentral. Lineage: Bacteria; Pseudomonadati; Pseudomonadota; Gammaproteobacteria; Alteromonadales; Shewanellaceae.